This 35032-nucleotide long non-coding RNA is filed under the name Coffea arabica (coffee). Its description in RNAcentral is "long non-coding RNA (CARA_LNC002700)". The record is from RNAcentral. Lineage: Eukaryota; Viridiplantae; Streptophyta; Magnoliopsida; Gentianales; Rubiaceae.
UUUUUUUUUUUUUUUUUUUUUGCAGAAUUCAGAUUUGAUUUGUAGAGCCCCCUCCGAAAGCAUUACAUAAAUAAAUUUUUUUUUUUUUUAGAAAAGUUCAACCAAUAAAGGGUUAUUGGUCGAAUUACAUAAUCAAAACGUCAGUUUCUUUUUUUUUUGUUAUCUUUUUCCAAGCAAAUCAGUUCCAUCUGUGGAUUGGCAUUUGGCAUGCUGAGCAUUGAGCACUAUGAAUCGCCCAAAAGAAGGACGGCGCGCGCUUCAGAAAAAAGGAAUGCCGCGUAGGUGAUACAAAGAACUUUGACAAGAUCUGCUGCAGAUUCCGAUUUUAAAAUUGAGGUCCGUUCGAAAACGACGGGAUGAGCGUCCCCGUGCCUGGACGCGAGCCAGGUUUUUAUUCUUUUAUUCUUUUUUUUAAAAAAAAAAUUAUUUGAGAUAAAUUUUUUUUAAAAAAAACACACUACUGUGUCACUUUUUAAAUAUAAUGUUCGUGAAAUUAAAAAAUAUAUUGAUGAUACAAAUAAAUAAAUUUUUACAAAUUGUGCGAAGAAGUUAUUUACAGUGUGAGUGAGCUUUUUUAUUUGGUUAAAUCCGGUAAAAAAAAAAAGCGCACAUUGAAUUCGAUUGUCAAGAUCUCACUUAAUUAUAUUCACGAACUAAUUUUCAAGUGCAAUCUUUUUGUUAAUUUUUCUAAUAUUGUCAUUAUUGCCUUUUAAUCCCAGGACUUUGGAUUAAAUCAUUCAUGCGAGUUAUUUUUUAAAAAACAUAGGAGGCGUCGUAGGAUUUAAGGUUAUUUUUUUCUUGGCGCAAAAUAGAAGUAAAAGCUUGCAUGAUGUGCAUGCACGAGGCGAGCAUAAGAAACUCAAAAAAAAAAAAAAGAAGUUCGUGGGGUCGCAUCGCAUAGGGCCCCGAAGGAUGGUUGGAUCACAAAUGUGGAGUGGACUUGCUACAUUCUUCAUUCCAGCAAUUGAACUUAGAUUUGAAUUUAAAGGCAGGCAGAGCCAGAGACAGCUCCCCACCUGUGCGGUCGGUGGGGCACGUGACUGCAAUUCUUGACUCGUGAUAGCGAAGACAAUUGAAAAGUCGUUAUAGAUGUCUCAACAUCCUAGAUUUCAUCCAUCAGGUCUUGCGUUAAAAGUUUUACUACGAGAGAAAGAGCCUGACCAUGGGUUGGCAAUUAUUUUUAGGACAGCUUAGUUUGGCUACCAGAUUAGCGCUGCUAUUUGGAGGUUGAACGAGUCACCGCCAUGCCAAUGAAGCAUGCAAGUGAAACAAUCCCAUCAACACACAGAAUUUUUCGAGAAACUUCUGUGAUGUUGCUUUGACAUUGACGUACUGUGAUAUAUAUAGUUUUCUGAUGAGGGUGUGUUUGGAUUGCCUUUGAAAAAUUGUUACGUUUUUUAUUUAAUAUAUUUUUUUAUUUCAUAUUUAUUAAAUUGUUAUAAUAAUCUUUUUAUAAAAAAGUCCACAAAAAUACAAUUCAAACAAAGCUACUUAAAGAGACUGGAUGGAAAAUUGUUGUCUAAAGGUACUAUUUUAUAUAUCACAAUAUGUGAACUUUGGUCGCUAUAAAUAAAAAAUACAGUAUAUGUUGAUUAGUACAUUUGAAUUGUAUCUAUUUUAUUAUUUAUUAACAAUUAUUAUUCUAUUUUAUUCUUAUGCACUUCACUCGUCUAACUUUACUUUUUCUAUACACUGACACUUGAACCCAUCUGACAUUCAUAUCGUAUGAAUAUUACGCCACCAAGCUCAUGCGUAGCGUCAAACCAACUACUUUGGCUAAUAUUCAAUGGUUUUGAUUGGCUGAAUUUCUUGCGGACAAAAAAUAUAAAUUCCAGAAAAUACAAGGGUUCUUCGGACUACUAACAAAGCCAAUCUAAGUAUAUUAAUUUUGGAUAACAAAACAAUAUUAGUGUUCUUGAUAACACAACGGAUAGACAAAAUUUGCCAAUGAAUCCUAGUCAGGAAAUAUUUUUUUCUCAAAAAAUACCCUUCAUGGAGGGAAAAAGCCCGCUCUUGCUAGUGUAUUUUUGUCUCUUCAUUUUUUUUGCUUCAGUCUUGCAUGUUUCACUUCUAAUUCUUCAUACUCCCUUUGUAAAUAUUUUAGCUUCUUUUUUUUUUUUUCAGAAUUCUUGAUUAUAGUAUAGCAUAAAUUUCUCUUCCAUUGUCUCAAAGUUCGAGGUCUAUCCACUUAAAAUAACCACGUGUUUAAUGAUUCCAUAACAAAGCAAAGCAUAAAUUUUUUAAAAUUAUUUUAUCUAAAAGUUAAAAAAGACAUUAAUUUAUCAUACAAAUCAUACCUUAUAAUUUGAACAUCCAAGAAAUUUCUUGGUGUCCAUGGCCUUCUUAAGGUGCUAAUUGACCGCAUCCACAAGUUUCUUAAUUUGGUUCUGAUAGAUGCUAUGACGAAUAACAUCUAAAAGAAACACAACAAAAUGAAUUUGAAAACAUCUGGGACUUUUUUCCCCCUUUUUUGCUGCAAAUAUAUAAGACUUGAAAGUUUAAAAGCUUUUUUUGUUGAAUGAUGAAAUUAUAACAGAAAUAUUUUUGGUCUUGGGAGGAGACUUUUCUUUAUAUACAAUAGAUAGGGGCAUUUUCGUCAAAAAAAUUGAACAUUUUAAAUGGGUCAUUUUCAUCUACCAUGAUAUUUUAACGGGUCGUUUGCUGAGCUGGAUUGUAUAGGAUAAAAGUGCCAAAAAAUACUACUCCCUAUAAGGGGAUUUUAAGGGUAUUUUUCGUGAUUUUCCCUAUAAUUUGUAGCGUUCGUAAAAUACUUGCUACUUGUAUUAUCCGUAUCUUUAUCCUUAUACCAUCACAAGCGCUAUUAGUAAUUACUGCUCUCAAGUCUUCUCCGGCCCUGACAACCGCCGGAAACUUGACGGAAACAAUUUGAAUCUAUUUCUAGGGCCUUGGUUACCUCCGAAAUCUUCCUGAAGACAUCGGAUACAAAUUCUUACAGCAUUAUACUUCUUCGUUUUCCCAGGUACGCUCCCCCCCCCCCCUUUCCUCCUGUCUCUCAUAAAAGUAGUUAUUUGAACAAUGCAUUUCUUCUGUUUGGAGUGGUUUCGUCAUUAAAUUCUGCAAUUAAUUAUGAUUUUCCCUUUUUCCCCUGCACCUCCAUUUGGAACGUAAGAGUUGUUAGCAUUGCCAAAAAUUCACGCUUCCAUGUCGGUGAUUUUAAUUGCGCCAAAUUUCAUAUUGUUUUCAGGUUAUGAGUAACUGCAAUACUAGGUUGCUUAGCCUAAAAUCACGCUCGUCAUGAUACCCCUUUGUUGUACUUAAUACAUUUUCUAAUAGCAUCUAUUGCCCGUCAAAGAACGUCCCUUUCAAUAUGCUGUACUACUAAUUGAAAAAGAAAAUGUCAACAGUAGAACUUCUCAAGUACUGUUAAGCUCAUUCGUUUAGCUAUAUGCCUGGUUUUCUAUUAACUAAAAAUUGCUUAGGGGAGAGGAAGGGGAAGAAGCCUGGAGGAAUGGGGGCAUACUUUUUCUGAUCGUCAUUUUGAACUUGUUCACUUUGCAUUUUCAUAAAAGUUAAUGCAGCUGAACUUGUUGAUAUCAAACACACGACCAUCCCGUAAAUACAGUGUAAAGUAAUGUCCAUCUGUUUAAUAGCGCAAGACUGAUUUCUUUUGUUUGGGCGGUUAUUUUUUCAAUAGCGUUUUUUUUAUUGAUUCAGUGCCCAUCUUGAAUCAGUUUCAUCAAUAUGUCUAUCGAACAAAAAAGUUUCAUCAAUAAAACGACUUGCUUAUUCAAGAUCGCAGUUCUUUUUGAUAGGUUACUUAUUUUUUGUUGCUUACACGGCUUUUGGUGUUAGAUAACAGUAAGAAUAGUGUGGGAUUUAAAUAAGGCUAAGGGCAUUGGUUAAAGGUUUAAGUCAUGAACUUUUUCUGCAGCAAGUUGGACGUUGAACUUUUCUCCAAUUAUGUCAUUCAAGGAGUCGGCAUGCAAAUUAUGAUUUGUACUAAUUGGUCGUUAUGCUUUUCUCCAUUGUUUUUGUGUUUGGUGAUAUCUACUCACCGAAGUUUGUGUUGGAUGUUCCUUUCCUGAGUAUCAUACAUGGAUUGUUGCUCUGGUGAACUGUGGAGAUCACCAACUCAGACAGAUUUGAUAUCUUUUUAGACGGUUAAAGAUUUGAAAUUCCUAUUAUUAUUUGUUUUUAUUUCCUCAUCAUGUUGACCCCAUUUGACUUUUUGCACCAUUAAAGAAGCAGUACUUCAUUAUCAUUUGAUUAAUUUCCAUUGAUUGGUUUCCAAUUCAGUUUUUUAAACUUUACAACCUCAAAUUCAGUGAAGCUGUUAGGAGUUCUUGUCACAAACUCUAUACCUUGACUAAUGCAUGAAGUCUCUUCUAGAAACAGGUAAAAGAAAUGCUUUACACCAUUUGAAAUAUUCCAAAAGGGGAUUAAAAUAAAUGAUGAGUGCAUAUCAUAAGUCAACUAGUAAUGUUUUGGCUUGUCAAAGGAUUGGAAUUAUCCUUGCUGAACCGUGGGAGACAUUACUUGAUAUGCCUACCACUGUACUACCUUAUUAGUAAUUCUAGCCCUGAUUUCCAGGGAAGAAGUACCUUUUUUGAGGGCCUUCUUUUCUUCCUUUGGUAAAUCUGAAAGAUUCCUGAUGUACUGUGUCACUACUUUGUCUUUACAUCUUUGAAUUUACUUUCCCCCCAGUGUAUCAAUGCGAUGAGUCUUCUUCUCCUUCUCCUUUUUUUGUGGCCCCACUCUUAGAUGAAGAUUGCACUUAAAAAAAAAAAUAAAAAUUGCACAGGCUAUUUGACAUAAUUUUGGGAUGAAUUAGUCUGAAUUUGGUGUAUUAUGCGAACUAGAGUAAAGAAGACCUGUUUCUAACUUUGUGCCUUAUAUCAAAAUGUCAUAGAAUUGCUGAAUUUUAUCUAAAGCAGUCGCUCAAGGUGGCUUUGGAGCUUCAAGAAAUGAUAAUUAGAUUCUUGGCUUGACAUAUUAGAUGACAGUCCAAAGAUGGAGUUCUUUUCCCAUUAAGCUGAAAAUUGGAUAGAGGAAGUUAGAGAGAUCUUGAAUUGCUCGUGGACUCCUUGUACUUCUACUGUGGUUUGGGUUUGAUGGUUGGUUUUGGUAAUGCGAACAUGUUAUCUUUAGCUGCUUUUUCCUAAUUUCUCUAGUAUCUCCAUGUAACUUAAGGAACAAAAAAAAGCAUAUGAAUCCUCGCAAUCACUGAUGUACUGGUUCCUUUGUUAUCAAUCUCAGCAGAUAAACUAAACACAAUAGAAACGUAUCAAUCCCUUGCUGGUUUCUGAUUUCUAGUUUCUAGUUGAUUUGCAUUGGAGUAUUUGGUAGAUUAAAUAAGUGCUAAAUUCGUCUGAAGAGCUCUUUUCCCUGUUGAUGUUCCUCUGUUGUAGAUGGUGUUGAUCUUUUAGUAUUACUGCGCUUCUUUUGGGACACCUUCAGAAUUUAGAGUCUGAUGUACAUCUUUAUGGCUUAGGCACAAACCAUAUUAAGCAUAACGUCACAGCAUAAGUCUAAGUGCUUUUCUCUUGCUUAUAAAGCAUAAUUUUACAUGUCCACACAUUAAGUAGGAUUCUGGAACCCAACCCAGAGAGGUUUAUUUUAAGCGUUAACUUGUAACACCUGACUGCCACGCACUUCUACAGCACUAGGAUAUGGUAGUUAACAUAGGCCAAUUUUGAUUGCGAGUAUGUGCUUCAACUCGCCCAAUUUUCCAUGUUUGCAAAUUGCAGGUGAUUGAUGGACAAAAAUUACAGCUUUCCAGGGGUUUGGUUUGAGUACGUACAUUCAGAAGCUGUUGAUGACAGAGAUUGUUGAUGACAUCACUUGAAAAUCCAGUACUAGAAUGAUGCCUUGUUCUUGCCUCUGCUUGAUUUAACUUCCUCUAUUGAGCUGAUGUACCUCUUUAAAAGCUGUAGCUAUUUUAUCACACAAUUAAAUCAACAAAGGGGCCAACUUCCUCAUAUGAAAUGAGUGGAGUUCGUGGAAUAUUGUUCCAAACUUGUUGAAAGAAGCUUCAUAGUUUAUCGCAAGAUGAUCUCAAUAAAAGUUUGAAGCAGAGGGUUCCUGAGAUAGAGAAGGAAAAAAGAUGGAUGCCCUGAAAGAAUUAAUUUUUCAUUGAUGUUUCUGAAUCAAGAUCAUCUUUUGAUGCUGCCAGCGUGACGAGUGACCCUCACUGCCGCCGGAGCUGCUCCCUUUGCAAAGCUUCUGAUGAGUCCGAGUUUCAAUAGAUGAUUGAGCAUGGUCAAGGAGCUGCCGGGAUACUCGCUUCUAAGAUGUGCUCGCAGAGGACUGCUGAACCAUUUUAGUAAAAAGCUUUUCCAUCGAAAUGAGGACUGCUGAACCAUUGCUUUGGGAAGAAACUAUGGACUUCAAAGAUGCGCUCGCAGAGGUUGUACAACUAGUACUCGAGUUGAAGAAUGUGAGAGUCACGGAUAUGAAUAGCUUCCCCUAGCAGGGAAGAAAGGUAUGUUCUAGUCCCAGGUUAGAUGAACUUGCAAAUGUUACCGGAGGCGGCCUUCCUAACUGUAUACAUCUGGCAUGAUUGAACUAGUUGCUAAGAAGGCUAAUCUCUCAUAUGUUAAAAGAAAAGAUCGACAGAAUGUUUUUUCUAAUUUACCCCAUAUGUUCAUUGCAAUGACCGUUCAGAAACACGAAAUGCAUUUUCUGUGAGCUGGCAAAUGCACGAAAGAAAAGCGAUUGAUGAAUCUUCAGUUGGGCAUUUAAUAACUUGUGUAAUGGAGCAUUGUGCUCUAACAUAGAGUGAAUUCUUGAAACUGGUUACAGAGAGGAAAGAAAGAAAUGAGGAUAGAAACUAGCAAUUGCCUUGAUACAGACACAAAUUUCUAUUCAACAACAUGGGUGCUUCACCCGGAGAUUCAACCCAAUCUAACUUGAGUAAAUCUAAGUUAUAUAUUCUUCUAGUUACUGCUAUCACUAUGGUGGUUGUUAGUGUGGAUGGUGGCAUUGAUGUUAUUACUGCUGUGAUGGUGGUGGUUAUUGUUCCCAACUCUCCUACUACUACUGGUCUUGAGCUGUGAGAGCUCCAAUUGCGUUUUCAUGAAGAACUGCAUUCUCUGCAAUUCCAGCUCUUUGGCAAACUUCAUCCUCUGCUUUUCCAUGUCCACCAGCUGCUGCAGCUUCGAGCUCUCAGCUUGCUCGUAAGCUUCCCCAAAUUUAAGUAUAGCUCGAGUCAGCUCCCUCACUGAAUUCCCCCAAUUCUUCCCCACAACAACACUUGCUUUAUCUGCACCUCCCUCUCUCCCCCUGUUCGUUCCAGGCCCAGCAGGCUUUACUCCUCCUCCCAAAUUCAUCAGCUCCCGCUGAUUCCUCGGCCUCUUCCUUUCGUACGUUGCAGGUGGAAAAUCAUCAGCCGAGUCAGGCGAACCAUCGGGCUCGGACUCCUCAUCCGAAUCCACCGCAGGAGGAGGGGGAGGCCGUUUCCGGAACUGCUGCUUCUGCUUCUGAAGGUGCUGUUGUGGAAAUUUCUCUUGCUGCUGCCUCAGCUGAGGAGCUGAUCUAACUCCCAUCGGGAUUCCCAUAGGAACUACCCUUUGGCUUCCGGAGUAGGACGGCCCUGCCCCCGCGCCACCCCCGGAAGCCAGUACGGAGGAGUUAAGCUUAGCAGAAGGUCCAAUAAGCUGAUCAAGCCUCUCAAAGAAGGGCCACUUACUGGGGCCACCACCGGCGGCGAUCUUGGCCUUCUCCAGCUUGUACUUCUUCUUGACGGUAUCAAUCCGGUUCUUACACUGAAUAUCAGUUUUAGGGGCUUUGGUGUAGUCUUCGCGGCUGCUGACGAUAUCAGCGACAUCCUUCCAGUGCUUCUGCUUAAGAUUCCCCCGGCUGAGCUCUAGAUACCUUUCUCCCCAGGCGUCAAUUAGCACCCCGGUGGCCCCUUCGCUCCAGCAAUCCUCCCUCCCACCACCUCCACUAUUUCCAGUAGGCUUCGUCUGCUGCUGAUGUUGUUGUAUGGGUAACGCCAGAGUUAGCGUGUUCUGAGAAGGCGGAACAGCAGCCACCGUCACCGUUAUCCUGCCGUUGGGACGCGGUGACACCGGAGAUCCGGUACCUCCCGAUGGAUGUGACUGAGUUUCUUCGUCGUCUUCCAUGCCGGAGGUCGAAAUCUCGCAGCGAUCUAGAGGGAGAGAGAGAGAGAGAGAGAGAGAGAGUGUGUGUGUGUGUGUGGGCGAAGGCGUCAGAGGGAGGGGAACAAGUGCGUGACUGUGCGAGAGAGAGAGAGAGAGAGAAGGGAAAGGAGAAAGAGGGGGUUUGGUUAUUUAGGGCUUAUUGUAGGUUUUAGAGAGAGGUUGACCGGCGGAAAUUAAUGACCGGGGAGGGGGGACGUUGUUUUAAGGCUGACGACUUUGCAACGGAUGUAGGAGUAGGUUAAAAAUUGCAGGAAAAGAGACCGGGAACGGGGGAAGCAAAAAAAUUGCAAGCACGCAAAUUGGGCUUCUAUUUUUUUUUUUUAAAGUGUUUUGGGAUUUUAUCGGUUGACGGAAAAGAACGAGUUGGAAGGGGAGGAGGGUGACGGCGUCGGUAAAAUGAAUGAAGGAAGGGGGUGGGACACGUGGAGGGAGAAAAAGGGGAUGGUCCGAAUACUUGUUCGGAUGUUAUUGGGUUGGUUACUGGGAGACCGGUCAUCGGCGUGAUGAAAUGAUGCCUCAUCAGUCUCCUCCACAGCCAGCCCCAUCAUAGUCGUACUAUUAUUACUACUACGACGACCACUAGAGCCCUUCGCCUCCUCUCUUAGUCUUGGCAACUACUACUGCCGGCUGGCUUGGUGGACCUUUUCCCCUGUUUUUGUCUGCUUAUCUCUAUCCUCCCUCUGCCAUUUCUGAUUUUUUCCCCUUUUUUCCUUUCUUUUUCUUUUUUCUGAAGGCAGGCACGGCGUUAAUCGGUUGCAGGCACUUAAGCACUACUACUACUACUACUAAUACGCUUCUCUUUUUCUUUCACCAACUGGACUUUGCUUCUUCAUCUUUGUGUCCGUUUUCAGGAGAGAGUUGUUCUUGGUUGGUGGAAGCUGUCUGUGGAGAAUACUUGGAAGCCAAAGGGCUCUCUCUCUCUCUCUCUCUAUACAAGACUAGAACAACUACAAAUGGUAAAAUCCCGGCAACUGAUGAUACCAGCGGCCAUUCCGAUGAAUUCGAUUAAUCAAUCAAGGGUCUGUAGGGAAAAGUGGAUAGGUUCGCUACAUCAGCUUUCAUUGAGCACCAAAAUCUAAAUGCAAGCCAAUUCAAUGCUAGUACCAGACUCCUCUCGCUAUAAAUCCUUACCAUCUACUCACGUACCACUAUUUGCUUACUAGCAAUUAUUAUUAUUAUUACUACUAUAUAUUUUUGGCCUAAGGACACCUUAAUUUCACUCAAAUUCACGUGCUCGAGUAUCAUAAUAAAUUCACACAUUAUAUGAUUCUUCAAAAAAAUUCAGACGGGUGCGUAGUGUAUUCGUUUGGUUCGGUGGUGGUUUUGUCCCCAUCAGUUCUCCGUAGGUUUAGUUGAGCCUCCCUCUAGUUAGAUUAGGAUAGAAUAGGAGUAUGGAUGAUAAUUGAUUAAAAAAAAAAAAAAAAACCUGCCAAGAAACAAUUGAGGAGAAAAUUAUUGGCCGGACUCGAACCCUCUCACCGUUCUGUCUAAACGGAGCUUAACGGCUUACCUGGCGGCAACGGCCCCGGUGCUCUGCUACCGCGUGUGCUGAUGUUGUAGCAUGGCUUGGUACCACAAAUUGGUGAGCAAAAAUUGGGGACGAUAAUUAAUCUCGCUUACACGUGUUGUUGACGAUAGUGAAUUUGGAUACAUAAACAUUACUUAGAAUUUAAAUUUUACCAUGCAACGUCUAUCCAAUUUUGCUAGCAGCGUAUAAAAUAUUAAUCUUUAAUAUUUUUUAUUGAGAAAAAUAAAAAGAAGCCAGUGUAAACUCUUUCUUCUUCUUCUUCUUUUUUCGCGCAUUCCUUGGGAUAAAAAUAGUAAAGCAAUCAAUUCGACAUUGUGAAAAUGCAAGUUGGUUUAAGACUGAACAAUUCUCGAAUGGGGUUUGAUGAUGAAGUGCAAGCUGUCGAAGGGCCAAACGAUUCAAGUAUCAACAUUCCGUUCAAUAUUAAUUUGGACCUCACAAAUACAUAGAAGGAGAUUGAGCAUUGCAUGUUGCUCCAAGCUGAAGAAGAAGGGACUUAAUAGAUCCGCCCCAUAGAUUGGGCCGCAGCGCGCUUCCGUGAAGCGUUUCAUUUCAAUUUUCUUAGUUCAAUCUCUGCCCACAAUCCCUUCACGGAUUCGAGUCAAAUAACUAAGGUUUUUUCUCUCUAAUUGGCGUUCUAUUAAUUAGGAUAUUUUAUUUAGUUACUUAAUUGUUGGUUAUUAGAAAUAAAUGGCUAGCUGUAUAAGUUACUUGGACCACUAGAUUAGUAAUUCUAAUGGAAUAAAUGAUGUAAUUCAUGUUUGAUUCGAAUUUAGACUAGUUUAGAUAUCUUGAUUAUAAAUAACUUUACUCUAACCUUGUAAUAGUGGUUCGUUAGACAAAUUUCGGCAAAUAAUGAGAGCUUUCUCUUGGUUUUAUUGAAAACUUUUCUCCAAUACUUUAGAAUUAAUUUUAAGCAUUUAAAUCAACAUGUUCGCAAAUGCGAAAAUUAGAAAGGUAUUUAGUACAAACUUGAGUAUCAACAUCGAGAUUUGAACUUGUGAAAUCGGAGUUUCGUUUUCAGUGGCCGGAGGAGGGUUCGUGUUAGGGUUGGAGCGAAAUCAAUUGAUUUUUUUUUCUAAAAAGUGCAUUUGUAAAAUGGGAUGCUGAUAUUAGCGGUGGUCGCACAGAGCGACUGUCUGAAGCCGAAGGGGAUGAAAACGUGGCGGUGCUGGCUUUUGGGGAUCAGACGAUGGCGAUGAUGAUGUCAGCAGGAGUCCAGAAACAAAAGAGGGCGGACACCUUCUCACGGGGUGUCCCAAUCAUCAGCUAGUAAAAUGGAUAAAUCAAAGAAGCAGUGGCGUGGAUGUGUUGGUGGCUUAGCAGACGUUCAUUUUUAAAGGUAGUACUGCAUUCCUCAGGUGAGAGUAAUGGGCUCAUGGCUUUGGGCUUCAAGUUUAAAAGCCCUUGCAAAAGCUGAGAGAAAUCCAAGAGUCUUCCCCACCAUUUCCACUCCGAUUGUUCUAACAUCACAAAGAACAGGGUAGUUUGAUUUCAUAUGCAAGUACAACGGCUCUAGUACGUUUUCUGGGUCCGGAAGAAAUUCAUUCAUGUUCAGCCUUAACGUACGUUAAUAUUUGCAAUUAAACCUUCUCUCUCUUUUUUUUUUUUUAACUCAGAAUAUACCUCGAUUCGAACUCUUAGGAUACGAGCCGGCACAUCAAACCGGUGAAAUGUGCCACAGCCCCACGCAGCGAUUCCAGACGAGUCACGGGAGUUCAAAUCCAAGAUAACAUUCGAACCCGUGACCACAAGGAUCUUUAAGACCCGCUUACCGCUGAAUUGUUCAGCCACGUGAGAGCAAUUAAACCUUCUUCGUUGACCGAAGCUGUGUGUAUGUUUGCUUCGUGUUACUGGAAGGCAUACAGCUUUCUUCCACGGCCUCAUUGGCAAAAAUGUUUAGGAUCCCAGUGACAAAGACAGGACAGGACAUGCAUGCGUGCGUCACGCUUUAAUUUCUUCGUGAUAUAACUCUCACUUUCAGUGUUGAAAGUAGCUAUAUAUAGAACAAAUUUUUAUGAAUCCGACGACGCGUAACAUGUAAGUGCAGUGAUUUGAUCCUUACAUUUUCUUUUGCCGAUCGCUAAAGAGCAGACAUUCUCUGGUGACGGCCAGGUCAAAUUUAAUACGUACGCAUCAAUCUAGCAAAGUUAUUGAUGAUAACUUUGACAAAUCUAAAUGAUAGAAGAAGUUUAACCAUUGCAUUUCGAGACUCUCUCUCGAUCGAAGAUAUUGCAAUUGCAGCAGCUGCCAUCACCAGAAAGUGAAUAAGCUCAGCUUGGGUCGAACCUUAAUUCUUUUAAAAUUGGGAAGCUUUCCAUUUUUUUUUCUUUUAUUUUGAUUCAACCUAAAUAUCGGGUGACAUCAAAAUAUGCUCGUCUCUAGAUCGAUAACACCCAUCCAAAGUGUUUGUAAAACAGGCAGAUAGCUGCAUCCGUAUCAUCCGGUGCAGAAAUUUCAUUGAUUAGCGAGCACAACUCAAACAAGAUACAUGCGUAACUAGAGCCAUGCUCUAUGUACAGAAAAGUCAACAAAAACACUAGUAGAAAACCAACCAACCGGUCCAACCCCCUCGCUCUAACCAUGCUGCUGUCCUAUAUUUACAAUCAUAUAUACACACACACACACCAUGAGAUAGAGAUAUGAUAAAAGAAACUUUUGGUUUAUUUUAGUAGUAUAUACUUUGGGGGGACGUAUGUACAAAAAGGAAUUUGCCUUGGCGGGUGUAGCUGGCAUCUAAUUUCCCAGACAAAAAUGGUCACCUCUCGCUUCUCUAUUAACGAUCCAAAGCGCUUAGUACAAUCCUGCAGUUGUAUCAUUACACCACGCGUGAGAAUCCUGAAACCUUACAGGUAAUUACAUUAGCAUACUGGAAAAACGUUUAGCCACCCCCCCCCCCCUCUUUUUCCUUUUUUUUUUUUCCUCAAAUGAAUCCAGCUUUGAUGUUGAUUGCAAUACAGAUAAAUUGAUACCAGAAAAUUAUUAUCCCAUUUCUUUAACCGCACUAAAGAAUUAUCACUAUAUUAGCAUCGUGUGAUCGAUAUUCGAUCGUACAACAGAAGAAGACAAAAUAUACCUCUCCGUGUACUCCUUUUUUUGUUGUUUUUUUUUGUUGGGGGGGGGGGGAGGGGGGGGAAGGAGGAGGGAGUUUGAAAAAAUAACAAAAUUGUUGCAACGAGAUCAUGCAUAACUAAAGUCAAAUGAAAAACCAAAAAGGUGACGGAGAAGAAAAUCACCAAUCGUAGCCCGCCGGGCUUUUUGGCUCCCCUGGUUGUAAGGCUGCCGAAUUGGAUUUUCUCCUCGUCAACUUCUUAAAAUUUCCACCAUGACCAGGAGCAGUCGCUACACCACACCCAACCGGAGGCCCAAAAAAAAAAAAGAAAAGAAAAGAAAUGAAGAGAAGCAGCAGAAAGGUUUCAAGACGAGAACAACACAAAUCGUUUAAAGAAAAACACCUCUGAAUCCCGAGUCGCAUGCAAAAGACUUACGUGAAAGUGGAGAAGUUGGGGUGGUAGAAGCAGAAGCAGCGGGAGAAGAAGGGACGGAGCCGGAAUCAGGGGUAGCAGAGGCAUAUCGCAUGGUAGGAGAGUUGCCACGGAGGAUAGUAAUGCUCCGUGAAACAGGGAUCAGAUGAUCAUCCACUGAUCCCAUCAUCAUGGUAGCUGGAGCAGCUGGUGCAGAUGGACGAGCGCCAGAAAAGGAAUUGUACUUGCGGAGUUUGCCAAGCCCGGAUUCAGGUGUUGGCCCGGCAAGCGUUUCGUCCCAGAGCUUGUGGAGGAAACCCAUGUGCUUUUACGGAUAUUUUUAGUACUGUUUCUUUUGUAACAACCGAAAUAGGGUGAUGCUAUGUCCUGGGUUUAGCAGCACUAAUACGUUGGUGACACCAAACGAUAUACGACUGUUACAAAGAGGAAAGAAAAUGGUGUGUUUUCUUUAAAUUUUUUUUCUUUUAUGCUUAAAAGCUAAAAGCAGGAAGGAACUGUUCGGAAGUUCUAGGCUUCUUAUAGAAGAGAAGAGAAGAGAAGAGAAGAGGAGGAGAGCGUAACAGAGAAAGUUGGAUAAGAUUGGCUGGUAUGGCUUUGGGUAAGUGGGUGGCUCCGGCUAAUAUGGCUUGGUUUGAAGCCAUUGAUUUCUUAAUUAAUGGAGGUCUGAGCUCCAAUGUGAAGCGGAAUUAGGUACGGUAGCUAAUUAUCAAGUCGAGUGAUAAAAUUCAGGCUCUCCCCUUACCUUUAAUAACAAAUGAUAAUAAUAAUAAGAUUCUCUGUCCAUCAUUCAAAUCUCAACGGCUUCGAGGGAAUCAAUAAUACUUUGUUCAUGGCUUCUAUUAGGUAGGACAUAAAUGUGUGGUCGGUGCCCAUAAUAUUUAUGAACGUUUAAAAUCACAAGUUCAUAUAUUUUAUUGUUCUUUAUCAUAUUUUUCUUUUGAAGCCCAACCUCAGAAGAGUGUAAUCCACACAAACAAAGGCAAUUAAAACUUGUAGAACCAAAAAAAAAAAAUAUAUAUAUAUAUAUAUCAAAAAAUUAUAGUAGGAAAUAAAUUUCAUAAAAUCAAUAUAUAUGUGGAGCCAAAUUACACACAUAAAAUUAUGUGUGAAAUUUUUUAAUAAAAUAUUAAUUCCUAAAUAAUAAAUUAUCGCAACUUGAUUCCAAUACAAUUACUGAUACUUUAACUUAAUUAGCACGUUGCCAUAUAAUAAUAUGAAAUUUUUUUUUUUUUUUUUGCAUCUUGAGUUAAUAUGCAAACUUAAUUGCAGCGAAAAUAGAAUGACUAGUGUGAAAAUUAAUAAGAGAUUACUUAAAUUAGACGUUAGAUAGACUUCUUGCAUGUGAAGCAUAAGUGCGAGAUUAGUGACACCAAUCAUUGGUUUAAUUUUUAAGCAUUUGUGCAUGUUCGCAUUAGACUUUCAUAUUCAAUAACAGAAAUAGGCUGCUAGUAGCAAAAAUGUAAAAUAUGAUGGACUGGGUAAGAAAUAAGACAUAGUGAAAAUUUUAGUAGCACAAGUGAGUAUUGAGGGAAAUUCAGCUGUUUAGCCGCUAGUGGAGCUAUGUGGAAUGAGUCAGUUCGAAGCCACGAGUAGUGUAGUGUUAGUGUACUAGGUGUAGUGUAGUGAGAUGAGAAUCGAGAUGAGAGGUAAAAAGCAGGCGGGGAUGGUUCCUUGAGUCAUUCAUUCAACCGAUUUUCGGAGCAGAAAAAGAUGGAGACAGGGGACGGUGACUCGGUCAUAUCCUUCCAAAUUCCACAGGCUGGCCCCGCCAUUUUCUUUCUUCCAUCUUUUUUAACUUCUUCACUGCAACACGCCAAUCUCGUCAUCACUCAUCAUCAGAUAAGGUUGGGUUCGGUUCAAGCGUAAAUUACCUAUUUUUCCUUGAGAAAUUUGAGCUCCAUGGGACCCGGCCCAUGCUUGAUGGUCACUUCGGAGAUAGUAACGUACUACUCUAUCGCCCUUUCCCUCCCCGUUUUUCUCUAUCUCACAUCGAUUGUGAGUGACGUGUACGUCCUACUUAAGAUCUUCAAUAUAACCUGAAAAUCGAUAUGCCUUUUGAAUUGGACUGUGAAUUUUUCAUAGAUAAUAUGUGCGUGUGUUGUUUACGAUUGUUGGUGAGUACUACUCUAGUUCAUUCACAAGGAUUUGUGCAUCCUCAAUCAAUUUCCCUUUCCUUCGACCUCUUUUUGUUUGUCAUGCGAGUAAAGUUUUCCAAGUACUCGCUUUAAAAUAAGUCACUAGUACUCGCAUCAUUUAUUUUACGUUUGCGAUUAAUCUUGUUUGAAUUGUUUUGAUUUUCUUACGAGAUUGAAGUUUUUCUCUCCCAAUGUAGUUCUUUUUAUUUUCAUGGAUUUCAAAGUCGAAACCUCGUGAUCAAUGGACGUAAGCUCCUUCCAUUUGCACUAACAUUUGAAAAAAAAAAAAAAAGGUUUCCUAAAUACGUACUGCUAAACACGGAUCAAGAUCAAGGUAUCACUCUUUAUUCACGCAUUUAGAUGCGAUAAAGAGUUUGAUUACACGCCAUUUUUUCUCUCCUGCUUUCUCUUCUUCAAAUAAUCACCCUCGAUUGCAUCUCUGCAUUUUGUGACAAAAUCAAAGCGCAUGUCCCCUAGUUGUUUUUUUUAUUAUUAUUAUUUUAACAAGCAAACAAAUAUAUAGGGCGUACGCAUGGACGUGCGAACUAUUAACAACUUCGAUUUGCAGAAUCAUUUUGAAGCAAUUGAGACGGAUCCCAUGUUCCAGUUAACAAAAAGGUCUUCAUUCCCUAUGGUCUCGUGCAUUGCCAUUCCCCAUUUGUGUGUGCGUAAAGGAUGGUAUAGAUCAGCUAUUAAAAGGGUGAGCCAAACGGGUUAUUAUAGCAAGAAUCAGCACAGUCGGUGAGACGUGAUUUCUUCGGGGUGAUUUCUUCGGUGGCCGGCCCAAAUCUAAAUUAUCCCAAGUUUAUAUUCCGCCAUCCUCUACUUAGGCUAUGAGUGUACCAAUCAGUCCUGGCAAAACAUAAAGACUCGACUUCUGGAAGGUAGUCCGACUUCAAUCGUACAACUGUCGUGUUUUGUCCUCAAAUGUGCAACGUGAAACCUAAUAUCAUAGCGAAUUUGACUGCAUUGAACCAAAUUUGAUAGCCCAUUUUGCAGAAAUCCCAAUUCCCAACUCAACUUUGUCGAGACGCUGCUCUGCUGCUGCCUGUAAGCUGUAACCAAUUGAUUGCAUUGAACAUUUGAACAUUCGUGCCCUCCCAUUGUCUUUUUACGGAUCGUUGUCCCCCCAAAUCUCCAUCAAUGCUUCCAAUUAUUGCUUUUAGGGAGGCGAAACUUUUCUUUCUUUUCUUUUUUCUACCGCUUUAUCUUCUUAGAGAAAUUGCUACUGAAGCAGGAAGCCUGAAUCAACCACCCCUACUGAUAUUAUGACUUGACCAUUUCUGGAAACUUAAUCAAUCACCAUCUACUGCCAUCAUUUUAUAAAGGGGAUUGAUUACCACCAGCAUUUUGUGACUCUUGCUCCCUCCUGAUCAGCGUAAUUUCUGUUAGUAUUUGGUUGGUAAAUGUCCACGGCACGCAACAAGCCUUUGAACCUUGUUGCAGGAAAACUGGCAAAGCUGGAUGAGGAGGUGAUUUUUGGUUGGUACCUAGACCGACCUGGAUCAGUCCUCUCUAAGAUGAAAUGAGGUGAACUCCUGUGUCCGAAGUGAACCUCGGUGUCCGAAGUGAGUGGCGGGGCUUCUCCCCUGGGAUCACUCCGACGAUCAAGUUAGUAUGAGAACGAGAAUAAUGAGAAUAUGAGUUAAUGAACAGUGUAGGCUUACUUGUUGGGAGUGUGUCUGGGGUAUUUAUAGAGGGAGAGUAGAGGACAGAGCGGAGGGCUUAUGCUGGUGGGACCCACCCUCUGGUCAUUACGGCUCUGUCCCGUGUCAGGAGGUUUGACUCUGACACUGUAGCUGCCUGAGCAUGAUGACGGGGUGUAUUGUGCAGGUGCCAUUAAGUGCUUCCAGUGCUUUUCAGAUAAAGCACUGGUCCUGGGUGAUGUCAGGUGGUUUGACAUCAUCAGCGUGCAGCUGAGGUGGGGGUGCCGAGGUCGGCUACACAGUAGGCUAGGGAAACGGCCGAGGCCGAGCUCAGGGGUGAUGCCCGGGACACGGAUGAGCUCUGAUGAGGGACGAGGUGAGUUCACCUCGGCCACUCGGGAUGGCCGAGGUGAGCAUCCUCAAUAAGCCCCCCAAGCCUCGGAUGCUCCGAGCAAGGGAGGUGCCGAGGCUUCCUUGUGCUGAAGUCCUGAAUAGUCGAGGUCCCGAAACUGCCCCGGAAGAUGCGGAGACGUGACACGUGGGCGAGUCAUUUGACAGGACGUGGAGGGUCGGUUGACACGCAACCGUCAUGUCGUGAAGUAGUGGGACGUUUCGUGAUGAUGGGGUGUCAGUCGAAAGGACGGGUCAUUAAUGAAGAGAGAGAGUGCCACGGCGUUUUGAAUUCGAAUGUGGUCGUCUUUUCGUAUUCUUGUCACCUCUUCGGAUUCUAGCCAUCCCCUAUAAAUAGGGGGUCCUUUUCACCACAUGGCCCAUCAUUUUCUUCUUCUGCCCGCGACUUGCAAAAUUUGCGAGCGUUGCCGAGAUCAAUCCUGCCAGCCGAAGUCACAGCCGAAGUCAUCCACUUCGUCCAGUUCGGUAUACAAUAGUAAGUAUCCCUUUUCCUUCUUAUCUUGUCUUUCACACAUGGCUAAAACCGCGAAGACCCGUAAGGAAACCGUGUCACCGAACUACCAGGCCGAGGUGAGGCCAGAUCCUGAAGAAGAAGCGACGACGUCCAGCUCGGAGGGGUCGACACCGAGUUCAGAGGGGUCGACCGAGGUGAGGGUCGGAGAGACAGCCUCAGAGUUGGAGUCGUCCGAGAUGAGUGAGGGUGGUUCCGAGGUCGAAUACAAUACCGAGCUCGGGACCGAGAUACCCCAUGACGAGGGUGUUCCGGGGCCAGUUGCUCCAGUGGACGCAGCCGACAUCGACUUCGGCCAGAUGCCGAAGUUUAGGAGUCGCGUAGGAAGAGAUAGGGCCGUGAAGGUGGUAGACAAGUACCCCUUCCGGCCGUGGUACGAAAUUUUGCCGCCCGAGGUGGAUGACACAGCCGCGAAACCCCCCUUUGGCAUGGUGGCCGUCUACGUUCAACAGCUGGAGGCCGGGCUGAGGAUGCCGACGUCGAGGUUCCUCCGGGACUUACUGCGUCACUUCCAGGUGAGAAUCACCCAACUCACCCCGAAUGCGAUCCGCAUCAUUGUGGGGUUUGAAAUGCUGUGCCGACAUCAGGAGGUGACUCCCUCCGUCGAUCUCUUCCGCCGAUGCUACACCCUCAAGGCGCACGCGACGGAUAAGGGAUGGUUUUAUGUUGGCAACCGGAACAAUGCCAUCCCGAAGUUGGUGAUCGGUGCUCCGAGCUCGAUCAAGAACUGAAAGCGCGACUACUUCUUCGUGUCCGGAGUGGACUUUCCGAGGGGUUUUUGGUGGAGGCCAAUUAAGGCGAAGGCCGACCCCUCUGCGGGAGAUGCCGAAGAGGAGUCCUUCCAGAAGCUGAUGAAGUCGGGACUUCGGCUGUUCAGCCAUGACUACCCCGAAGCCGUGCUCGUGGAUGGGGGGAUAAGUCGAGCCGUGAUCAAUACUGCCAAAGCUCCCUUCUUUUCCACUGAACUUAAGAAGCCUUGUAAUUUUUCUUUCGUAGCUUUGCUUUCACUUCGGUUAAGGCAUAUGAUAAUAUUUGCUUCUUGUGCAGUGACUAAACUGUCCGACCUCGUCGUCUCUGGCUCGUCCGAAGUGGCCAAGAGGCCGAAGAGGAAGGGUACUGACGAGACAUCGGCACUUCCGCCGAAGAAGAAGAAAGCACAAGGACAGGCUGCCAAGACCCCGGCGGCUACAAGCACUCCCACCAAGGUCGGCCAGAGCAGCUCGGCCACUGCGGCUACUGGGUCCACUUCGUCCGUGCCAGAGAGAGUGCCUCUCGGAGUCGUUACGGCACUCCCACCUCCUCAGGGCCGAGGCAAGCAGCUGAAGGCCCCGGCCAAUCCAGUCUCGGGGACUUCGCUAUGGAAUCGUUUCCAUAGCCCCCCAGUGUUUCCCGGGGAGGAGAAGACGCACUCCGGCAAUCAUUGGUGUCCGAACUGGAAAGUUUCGGUCAACGACCGGUGCCAGCAUCCUCGAGUUGCACAGGAGCUAGUAAUGCACUCCACUCUGCCAAGGGAUUUGGAGUUCAUGAAAAAACUGAGCCCGGCCGAGCUGGUUCAAAGUCUGAUGGUGACCACGGCUUCCAACUCAGCUUUUGCGGCCGAGAUGGCUCACAGAUACUGUGCUCUAGUCGAGGAGCAGGACACCGGCAAGCUGCAGAUUCAGAUCUCCAAGUUGGAGAAACAACUGGCGGUGUCCGAAUCCGAGAAGUCGGACCUUCAGAGGCAACUUCAAGAGGCUGAAGCUAAGGGUGAGGAGGCCGAGGCUACGAUGAAUAGUCUUAGAUCAGCCCUCGAGGAGGAGCAGAAAAGGGGAGACGAAGUGAAGAAGUCCCACGCACAAGCUCUCGAGGGUGCUGGAGCCUCGGCUGUGGACGCGUUUCGGAGGUCCGAUGCCUUCAUCAAGGACCUCGGCCAACUGCUUACGCCUAACUUCAUGUUUGGCUUCACAUCGGCCAUUGACGAGGCCGCAGCUCACCUCUCCUCCGAAGCCUUGGAGUCUUUGAAAAGUCAUGCCAGCUACAAUGAAAACUCCAAGGAGUUAUGUGAUCGGAUGGCCGAAGGCAUUCAGGCAGGAAGGAACUUGGCCGAAGUCCAAGUCGAGUUCAACAAGUGGCUGUCCGAACUCGACGACGUGUUCGAGGAGGUGGAAGUAGAGGAAGCUGAGGGAGACGAAGUCGGGGGGGACGAAGUCGGAGGGGACAUCGGCAAAGAACCUGGAGAUGAACACCCCGGCGGAAAAGAGGUCGAAGAGAAGGCUGCCCAGGAGGGAGCCAAGACCGGGGAUGGAGCCGAGAAGGGGGUCUAGGCUCAGGCUUUAGGGGGUGACCGAGGUGGAGAGUGCUUAGUAGCAUUCGGACCUCAGCCUUGUAUUUUUGUAGCACUCUUUUCUAUUGAAUGAAAGCCUUUUUCUUCUCAUCUCAGCGUUUUUUGUUUCUUGCUUUGAUUUCAUCCCUUGUUUGUCCCCCUUAUUUUUUAAUAACGGAUGCUGGGCAUCAUAUUGUUGAAAAAUAACUAAAUAGCUAAAGUCAACUUUGAUGAAAUAACUGAAUGAAGUCACAACUUCAAGCAUAAUACAACCUAAGGUUCUCGGCGUGCCAAGAUCUCGGCACUAAUGAGCCAUCUCGGUAACUCAGUUUACAAUACCCCUUAGGGUCAGAUUCCACAAUUCGGUAAGGGCCUUCCCAUUUCGGGCAUAAUUUCCCUUGCGGUUCAGCUCGGCUGACUGAAUUUUUUCUGAGAAUUAGGUCUCCAGGACGGAAUCUACGAUGUCUGACACGGGCAUUGUAAUAGUGUGCCAGUGUGUUCUUGUAUGAAGCUAUCCGGGCUGAGGCGAGGUCCCUUCGUUCUUCGACGAGGUCGAGGUCCAGCAACCUCUCUUCGUCGUUCACCUCGGCGGCAUAGGCUGCCAGCCGAGGGCUGGGGGUAAGGAUCUCAGCCGGGAUGACAGCCUCGGCACCGUAGGUCAGGGAGAAUGGGGUCUCUUGCGUCGCUGACCUCGGCGUGGUCCGAUACGACCACAAGACACUGGGGAGUUCCUCCACCCAAGAUGACCCACCUCGGUGUAGUCGGGUCCUGAGACCAUGCAGGAGAGUUCGGUUGAAGUUUUCUGCUUGACCAUUGACCUGAGGGUGGCCUACCGAAGUGAAGUGUUGUUUGAUGUCGAGGUUUUCGCACCAAGUCUUGAACGGGUUCUCUGCAAAUUGUCUCCCAUUGUCCGAAAUGAUGAUCUGAGGUAUGCCGAAGCGGCAGACAAUGCAUUUCCAAAAGAACUUUUGAAUGGUCAGCCCCGAAAUGGUCCGAAGUGGCUCGGCCUCUACCCACUUAGUGAAGUAGUCCACAGCGGUCACUAGGAAGGUAUAAUCCCCGACGGUUUUAGGGAAAGGACCUAUGAUGUCUGUCCCCUAUUGCUCAAACGGCCAGGGUGAAGUGAUGGGGACCAUGAAGUUGGAAGGCUGGUGGUGCUCGGGUGCGUGGAAUUGGCAGGAAGGGCAGCCGAGAACGAGGUCCUGGGAGUCUUGCCGAAGUGACGGCCAGAAAUAUCCAAGGAGCAUAGUCUUCUUGGCUAACAUCCUGUGGCCGACGUGAGCUCCGCACAGGCCUUCGUGGAUCUCGUGGAGGACGUGACGUCUGGCCUCGGGAGUGACACACCUCAGCCAUGGGCCGAGAUAAGAGCGUUUGUAUAGUUCUCCAUCGCGGAGAGCGUACCGAGCCGCCUUGCGUUGUAUUCUUCUCGACUCGGCUCGGUCUUCAGGGAGUGUUCCCUGACUCAAGAAGAGGAUGAACGGGGUCAUCCAGGUAUCUUCGGAGUGCACGGGGCAGGCCACCUCUCCCACAUAUCCGGGUUCACUCAGAACUUCCACUAAAACCGUUUUGUUGAGGUCAGAGAAUGAAGUGGAGGCCAGCCGGGAUAAGGCGUCGGCUCGCUUAUUCUGGGACCGGGGGAUUCUUUGGAUUUCGAAUGACUUGAAGUAUGCGGUGAGCUGGUGAACUUUGGAGAGAUACCUUUGCAUGGUCUCAUCCUUAGCCUCGUAUUCACCGAAAACUUGGCGUACCACGAGUUGGGAGUCACUGCGGACGUGGAUUUGCUGGGCGCCGAGCUUGCGGGCUAGCUGGAGUCCAGCGAUUAGAGCCUCGUACUCGGCUUCAUUGUUGGUGGCCGGGAAGUCAAAACGGAGGGCGUAUGAGCACACCUCCCCCUGAGGUCCUUCCAGGAGCAGUCCGGCUCCCCAGCCUUCUCCAUUAGAGGAUCCAUCGACAUACAAUGUCCACAAGGAUGAGAUGGACACCUCGGCUAAGGCUGAGGUGGACUCCGGACCGUCCGUGAAGGUGAGCUCAGCAAGGAAGUCAGCCAAAGCUUGAGCUUUUAUGGCGGUGCGUGGCUCGUAGGACAAGUCAUAUUCUCCCAAUUCGACAGCCCACUUGGUGAGGCGACCAGAAGCUUCGGGUCGCACCAAUAUUUGCCGAAUGGGCUGGUCAGUCCGGACCGAGAUAGGAUGGGCUAAGAAGUAGGGUUUCAACCGCCGAGCGGCGUGGACUAGUCCCAGCACCAGUUUUUCCACUUGAGCAUAUCGAGUCUCCGGCCCUCGGAGAGCUCGGCUGACGUAGUAGACUGGCACUUGGGUGCCCUCAUCCCGGAUAAGAACAGCACUGACAGCCUCGUCGGCUGCGGAGAGGUAGAGGUAGAGCUUCUUCUCGGGCCGAGGUGAAGCGAGAGUUGGGAGGUGAUGCAAGUACUGUUUCAGCUGGUCGAAAGCAGCCUGACACUCCUCAGUCCAGGCGAACUGGUCAGCCUUUUUUAGCACCUUAAAGAAGGGUAGAGCUUUCUUGGCGGAUUGGGACAGGAAGCGAUUCAGCGCGGCCAGGCGUCCAUUCAAUCUUUGGACUUCUCGGACGUUCCGAGGUGGGGACAUAUCUUGAAUGGCCUUGACCUUGUCGGGAUUGGUCUCGAUUCCCCGGCGGGAAACCAAAUACCCCAAAAAUUUUCCGGAGGUGAAGCCGAAAACGCACUUCUUUGGAUUCAAUUUCAUCCUCGAAUCCCGCAGGACGCCGAAGACUUCCCUCAAAUCAGAUAGGAAGGCCGAAGUGGCCUGGCUCUUGACAAGGAUGUCGUCCACGUAGGCCUCCACAUUGCGGCCGAUCUGGUUUUUGAAGAGGCGAUUGAUCAAUCUCUGGUAGGUCGCCCCGGCGUUCUUUAGCCCGAAUGGCAUGGUAGUAUAACAAUAAGUACCUUGGUCGGUGUAGAACGCCGUUUUCUCUUGGUUCUCUUCACUCAUUCCUAUUUGAUGAUACCCUUUGAAGGCAUCUAGGAAGCAGAGGAUUUCAUACCCCAUCGCCGAGUCGACGAGGGCGUCUAUCCUUGGCAGGGGAUAGCAAUCUUUGGGGCAGGCCUUGUUGAGGUCGGUGAAGUCUACACACAUUCUCCAUCCACCGGUGUCCUUUUUGACCAUAACUGGGUUGGACAGCCAGGUGGGAUAUUGGACCUCGUGAAUCAUCUUGGCCGGCAAGAGCUUAUCGACCUCAUCCGAUAUGGCCUUGCUACGCUCGGGGCCGAAGUGUCUCCGUUUCUGCCGCACAGGUCGUGCCUGUGGGUUGACGUUAAGUUGAUGAAUCAUGAGCUCGGGUGGCACUCCGACCACUUCAUCUGCGGACCACGCGAAGAUGUCUCGGUGGUCCUUGAUCAGGGAGAUCAUUUCUUCUUUCAGGGGUGAAGGGAGUCCGGCCCCUACUUGGACCACUUGGUCAGGCUUGGCUUCGUCCAAGACCACUUGUUCCACCUCGUCCCCGGGCUCAAGCCUAUUGGGCUCUCCUGCCUUCUGAGGGUCGAUGCAGUCUAUGGAGAGAACAGCCGGCCUCUUUUCUUCUGACCUCGGCGGGGGCUGAGGUCCGACUGCAGCUUGGAUGGUGGCGAGGUAGCAUUCUCGGGCGGCGCCCACGUCGCUGCUCACCUCGGCCACACCCUCUGGUGUUGGAAACUUGAAACUCAGGUGGUAGGUGGAAUAUACGGUUCUCAAGGCAUUGAGCGUGGGCCGGCCUAUCAGCAUGUUGUAAGGAGAGUCCGCUUUGACCACCGCAAAGCUGACAGGCACAGUUCGGCAACGGGGAUGACGCCCGAUAGUCACCAUUAAAUUCACCAUGCCCUCCGGGUGGACGACGUGUCCCCCGAAGCCGACAAGGGGAGUUCUGACCGGAGUGAGUUGCUCCCGGGUCAACUUCAAACUCUCGAAAGUUCGGUAGUAAAUGACGUCUACCGAGCUUCCGGGGUCAACGUAGACCGUUUUAACUAUGUAGUUAUUUGUGAGGACCUCAAUCACUAGGGCCUCGUGAUUGCUGGAAGCGGCGGGGACAGGGUCACGGGGACCAUAGGUUAUCACCUCGGACAGCCUCGAGCUCGGCUCGGCCACAUCCAUGCCGGCUUGGCGGUAGGUCCGCUUUCGGGAGUUCUGGCUGUCUCCUCCCGUGGGGCCACCUGAGAUGGUGUUGAUCACCCCAACUAUGUUUGGGCCGUAGUCUGGUGAUCCGUCACGUGGAGGCCUCUGAUCCCCUUGUAGUUCUCAGGACCUCGGCAAUUAAGCUUGGUGUCCCGCCUGUCCUCUCGGCGAGGACCUCGGCUCUCCCGGUGGGAGGCACUUCGGUUGAAGCUUCCGUCUUUGCGGAUGAACUGCUUCAGGUAUCCUUGUCGGAUCAGGUUUUCGAUCUCUCGCUUCAGAUCGUUGCAAUCUUCAGUCUCGUGCCCAACGUCUCGGUGGUAGGCGCAGUAGAGGUUGGAGUUCCUCUAAUCUCUCCUCCCAGGGAUCUCAGGAGGUGUUCGGCCGAGGUGAUUUUGCCUCAUCACCGCCAAGACGUGAGACCGACUAGAAUUGAGCGGGGUCAGCUCGGCGUCCGAGGUUGACGAUCUCCCUUUUACUAUUCGAUCAAAGACACUCCGGCGGUCUCGGAGUUGGUUUGAAGUGCCACUUGGGCCGGGUUCACCUCGGCUGGUGUCUCUCCUCCUCCGGGGAUCUUGCCCCGUACGAGAGGCUUGGGCCUCUCGCUUCAUGCGGUUUACAUCCUCACUUCGGAUUCCCUGGUCCACUCUGUCCCAGAGUUCCCGAAGUGUACGGGGGUAAUCCCGAUGGAUUUCGGUAUUAAAAGUCCCUGCCACCAACCCGUUGGUGAAGGCGGCGAGGGUUACUUGCUCGUUCUGAUCAGGUAUCUGCACAUUCUCAUCAUUGAACCUUUGAGCAUACGAGCGAAGGGACUCGCCCUGACCCUGUUGCAGGUUCAAGAGGUAAGCUGAAGUCUUGGUGAUUGGUCGAGAUGAUACAAAGCGGUGGAUGAACCGGUCUAUCAGCUCGUCCAAAGAGGAAAUGCUCCCUGGUUCCAGACUUCAGAACCACUUCCGGGCAGUUUCAUGUAGGAAGAUGGGGAAAGCUCGGCAGAUCACAGCGUCGGGGACGCAGUAGAGUCGGAAGGCAGAGAUGAAGGCGCGGAGGUGAUCCUCGGGGUCACCUCGGCCGUCAUAGGUGGGCAAGUUUGGAAGUUUGAAGUUCGGGGGUACCAUCUCCCCAUUGAUGUCAUCAGUAAAGGGCGGAGCCCUCAUGUAGUCAGAAGCUAGGCCCCCGGGGCGCCGAGGUGGGUCCUCAGCUCGUUUCCCCAGCAGUCCCCGAGAAAACGCCCGGGAGAUGGAGGCAAGUUUAGAGGUCGCCUUGGAGGAGGCGCGUCUGGAGGUACUCCGAGAGAGUCGCCCCUCAUCGGAGUCUUCACCUAAAAGUACCUCAGGGGACUUCGUCGGCCUUCUCUUGGAAGACUCGGCCUUUUCUUUCCCCUGUCUUUUGAGGUACCUUCCUAACUCCUCAAAAAUGGUAGGGUUGUGUGAUACGAACUCGGCCAUCUUGGCGAUGGCCUCCUCGUUGUUAGGCUGGGUCCUCGGGGACCCUUGCUCUUCAGAAAUGCGAUCUUGCUGGGCUCCCGAGGUCUGCCCAGCCCCAGUUGAGGGAACUCUUCCGCUUCUAGAACGCGUGGAUCUCAUUUUUAGUAGUGAUCUCGUUCCCACAGACGGCGCCAAUUGAGGAGGUGAUUUUUGGUUGGUAUCUAGACCGACCUGGAUCAGUCCUCUCUAAGAUGAAAUGAGGUGAACUCCUGUGUCCGAAGUGAACCUCGGUGUCCGAAGUGAGUGGCGGGGCUUCUCCCCUGGGAUCACUCCGACGAUCAAGUUAGUAUGAGAACGAGAAUAAUGAGAAUAUGAGUUAAUGAACAGUGUAGUCUUACUUGUUGGGAGUGUGUCUGGGGUAUUUAUAGAGGGAGAGUAGAGGACAGAGCGGAGGGCUUAUGCUGGUGGGACCCACCCUCUGGUCAUUACGGCUCUGUCCCGUGUCAGGAGGUCUGACUCUGACACUGUAGCUGCCUGAGCAUGAUGACGGGGUGUAUUGUGCAGGUGCCAUUAAGUGCUUCCAGUGCUUUUCAGAUAAAGCACUGGUCCUGGGUGAUGUCAGGUGGUUUGGCAUCAUCAGCGUGCAGCUGAGGUGGGGGUGCCGAGGUCGGCUACACAGUAGGCUAGGGAAACGGCCGAGGCCGAGCUCAGGGGUGAUGCCCGGGACACGGAUGAGCUUUGAUGAGGGACGAGGUGAGUUCACCUCGGCCACUCGGGAUGGCCGAGAUGAGCAUCCUCACUGGAAAUUUGACAAAACUGCAAGUAAUGUUUAAUCUUUUGGGACUUAUUAAUACUCGGUUUUUUUUUUUGUCAACCGAUAAAAUGUACUAUUACUCAUAAAUUGCUGGUAUCAUCCGCCGAACACGAACAGUAGCGGUACAAGCCGACGUCUGUCGUCAUAUGCGCAGCCAGAAGUUGCUCGCACAUGCACUUUUUUUUUUUUUGGGAGGCUGCUGCUGCUGAACCUCUGGAAACUUAGGGUGAAUUGUGUGUUGCAUUUACUUUGCAAAUUGCAUGGACGCCGUCUCCUCUCAUGAAUAAAUUCAUAAAAAACUAAAAAAAAAAAAGAGAACAACGGAGGGAUGGUCAUCGCCACUCUGUUAUGGUUUGUCAUCGGACCGAUAAGGUUGUGGGGUGCCUUCCUUUUGUACGACUAGUGGCAGUGGCGACUGAAGCGGCAGUUGGUCAAGUCAGUUUAGUUCCGCUACAGUAGGACAGUUCCGCAACUUGGCUUUGAUUACCCACCUGUUCAGUUCCUUGUGGGGCCUUCACUUGCAACUUCUUAAAUAAUUAUUUACCAUCCUAAUCUCUAAGUCUCAUCCCAUUAUACACUAAUACCACCACCGGCGGCGGCUAAUGUUAUUAAUGGUUUGUUUGGAUAGAGACUUAUUUGUCAAAAUUUAUUUGCUUACAUCAUCAUUACAAUUUUCAAUACACCUUUUUAUCUUCCCAAUUACCUUUUUAUCUCGCAUACAUCACAUCACAAAAAGUGUUACAGUAAAAAUAUCUCAAAUAAUUUACAAUCCAAACAGAGCUGCCAAACUAUUAGAUCAGAGCCCAACUGAUAGAAUCGGUCGAACCGUUUUUAAAAAUUUGUUGAAAUCAAUAUGAUGUUAUAGUUAUUUUAUAUUUUUAUAAGUUUCAAAAAUAUUGAAAUUAAGUUCUUGAGUAUAUUUGGUCAAUUAUAAAAAAAAAUGUUUCAAAAAUAUUAGACUAGCAAUUAAAUAUACACCUAAUGAUUAUAUAUAAAAAUGUAAAUUCAAGACUAAAAUAUGUCCAUUCACCAAAACUGCUUGAAAAACUAAUAAAUUAAAAUAAAUUAAUGCAAGUUAAAAUCACUGAUGCUAAAUUAAUAAGAUCAUAGGAACGAAAACAUAUUCAUUUAAAGAUCAUUCAUAAAAGCGAGUGAUUUUGAUACUUACACUAAGUGAGUGACAUUUUCUUAUUCCUAUUAAUAAAUGAAUGUGUUACAAUUUAGAUAAUUCAAAUUAUAUUUGAAAGAGAGAAGAAAGAAAAAUUUGAGAACAAGAUCAAUUAGUCGAACUGAAAUCACUAAUUUAACCAAUUUUUGACUGUUUUAACUGAUUUUUAACCAAAACGAUUUUGUGUUACAAAUCAACUUGAAAAGAAAGCCAAUUCACAAUCAGACCAAUAUCGAACCAACCGAUCUGAUUCGAGUCUAGCAACACUGGCAGCAGGCGCAAAAAGACUCUUGAAGAUGUAAAUAUGCCACUACUUGAUGCACGUAAGGCAAAAAAACGAUAUUAUAAAUUGAGAGAAAUGUUUCUUGAAGAACGUUGUGGCAUUCAAGAAAUUAGACGACAGCUCAAUGUGAGUAAGAUAAUACUCGUAACGACGAAAUUUCGAUCUCCUCUCCCCGCUAACAGAGCCAGAAGAACGUUUUAAAUUCCUUUUCCUUUUUGGUGACCAGUAGGUUGGAAUUUUACUUCCUCGGCUACGAAUUUGCAUUUCAAAGCAGUAGCCGCGGAUCUUCUCUCAUUUCAAAUUUUUUUUUUUUUUUUGCAAUGCUGAUUGCUUGAAAAUAGAAACUGAAGGCCACCCCUACCAUGACAUCGGAAUCCUAGACACCGCCGCACCCGACGCCCGCUCUGUGAAACUCUUCAACACUACAGACCUGAACUGAAUUACGGGGGAUUGAUCGGAGGAAUACACUGAAAAAUGGGGAGGAUCACCGAUUUUUUACAGGUUUUCCAAUGAAAAAAACCAAUGCCCGUAUGGCCUACAAACAUAGGCAGUGAAGUGACUCAUCUGCCGCCUCGUUAUGAAGGAAUACAAAUACUACCAGCUAAGUACUACCCAUCCGGAAUUAGAGCAUCAUUAUUACAAGGCUACAACUUUCUUGUCACACCGUCACCGGGUGAAAACUGAAACACCUUUUGACUCCUGCCUCAUCUCUCCAGUGUGGGAUGAAACUUUCGAAUUUCCACACCUCUCCUGCUAUUAAAUGCAUAUAAUCUUACGCUCCUAGGCCAAUUUUCCAUUCAUGUGGUCAUAAAUCCAGCUGUAAAAAUCAUGCACAAACUUUGAACCAAUUCCAGCAUUAGGUGAAAUUAUCGUCAACAUCUAGAAGAAAUUACUAGGAUACUUGUUGAAGGAGACGUCAUCACCAAAACAAACUUUCUGCUUCCUGCCGUUUCUCCUACUGCCUCCAAUACUUCCCCGCGUUCUUGCCCCGGUUCCUCUUCCCAUCCUGGUUUCUCCCUGAUGUUCCACCUGUCUUUAGACAUCGUUAAUUUAGCUAGAAGAUGUCAGAUUUGCAAUAGGAAACGGAUACUCAGGAAAGACUAGUUGAGACGCAGAUAAAAACAACAUACCCCUAUACAAAAUCCAUUGAACUGAGUACCCUCCACCUGAGAACUACUGGGGCUCAUUUCUGAGGAAUUUCUCUUGUUUUUAGCAUUGUAAGUCUCACUGCACGAUGCAAAUGGUGGGGACGAACGGGUAGAAGGCGUCGCACUUUGCGAAGAACAGGAAGCAAAUGCCUCGACAUCACUUUGGAACAUCUCCUCAAACAGCUCUUGCAAUUCCUCAAAGCUCUCUUCCUGAUUUUCCUGUCAAUUCAAGCACUACAUUUGAACACCGUACAACUCCUUGGCAAAAACUUGACAAGGAAUCCUCAAACCAAACCUCUGAUCCACCAACCAGCAGGCUUUCAUGAGAUAAACUUGACAACAUAUAACCAUUAAACGCGGCACUUUGUUGGUAACUAUCCAGCCAGAAAAAAAGAGGGGAAAAUGUAUGAAAAAGUUUGUCUCGCCUUGUAUAACUCGCUGUUUGUAUGGUUUAAGAAGAGUAAAAGAGACCCAACAAAGAAAACUGAAGUUCAAAUCCCUAGCUCCAUCCAAUCCCCUUCCCCCCCAAGACAACAAUGGAAAACAAGAAUCUUCUAUUCAAAGCUACACCACGAAUACAUAUACAUAAAAUAAAAUAAAAACUACUACAAGGGAACAGCAACUCACCUUGGACUUGUUUUGGCUCAUCAUGGCCGCCAUUUCGUUGAGAAAGUCUCCCAUUCCCUGCAUUGCAUUAUUGGAAAAUAUAUGAACUUCAGCCACAAAAGAAAGACCAAUAUAUAAUUGCCAAACACAAUUGCGCAGUUUCCAUGGAACCGUUAAAUAAGUUCAGCAGAUUCAUUUGAAAAAACAACUGUCCUGAACUAGUCUCAAGAUUUGGUGUCGACUUGAUUUUUUUUUUCUUUCAAAAGAAGGAGGAAGAAGAUUUCUUGACCAUGAAAAUCCAUAAUAUCAUUUAUUUAGGUAUCCCAAUUGGAGUACUUAUUCAAGACAAUCAAAUAUUCUUUAAAUUAAACACCCUGAACCCACUCAAAAUUUCUUUGGUAGACAAAUCUGCUAUCGUAUCGAGGACAAUAAAAUGAUGAAUUGGGAUUAGUUUUGUCAUCCGCAUUGAAGCGUCUAUACAACUUCUGUGGAGCUUAUUGAAGGAGCGUGUCCACACGUGCCAAAGAGAUUAUUACUACUACUACUACAGAAUGCAGUAGCAGUUGCUAAUAAUUUUAUAAAAGAAAAGGCACUGCUAAAUGCGGAUGGAGUAUAAUAAAUACAAAGAGGAAAAAUGUAACGAAAGAAAGGGGGGACGUACAUUUUCGUCGUCCUCAUCGUCACAGUCGUAAACUCCUACGUCGUACAGAAACCUUUUGUUGGCGUCCGAAAGUACUGUCAGGUGUCAACCCAAGAAUCUCGUGAGUCCAGCAUAUAUAUAUAUAACUAAGAUAAGAAUUAUAGGACUACUUACCUUAGCAUUAUGAUUUAUGACUCCUAACAACACCGAUUAUAUGUGUUGAUAAAUAAACAAAUAUGACAGCUGAAUAUACCAUUGAACAAACAUAUACUGGCAGUACAAAUUUUAGGGGGAAGAAAAAAAAAGAAAAAGAAAAGAGAGAGCGAUAGCGUCCUACCAGAAUAGGCUUCUUGAAUUGCCUGAAAUUUCUUCUUGGCCUCCUCCACGCGCUUCGGAUUCCCGGAUGCCGAGCAACGAUCUGGAUGCCAUUUCUAUAUCAAAAACCAGAUUCCCCAUUUCAGGAAAAGGGAAAAAAUUCAGCCCAAAAUUUAUUCUGGUCAAGACAUUUGAAGCAGAACAAUCAUCAUCUUCAAUGCUUUCGCACCAUCCGCAUCAGCCUAACAAUUUUUUUGAAAAGUCCAAAAAUUUUCUAACUUUGCGCUCGGAUACCACUCAUCACCCAAUUCAGUUUUGGAAAAAAUACUCGAAGAUCAAAAUACUAGCUCCUUCGCCCUCGCCACCCCACUCCACCUAAAGAAUAAAAUAAAACAGAGACGCCUUCUUUACACGCCUAUGGCAUUGAUGGACAAUCGAGAAUCUGUUUAUCGUAAUUUAUUUCUGAUUUGGUUAUUUAAAUUUACAGAAUUAAGAGGUUCAAACGCUGACCAGUGCGAGUUUCUUGUAAGCAUUCUUGAGCUCUGCAGCACUGCAUUCCUUCUUCAGCCCCAAAACAGCAUAAAAAUCACUUCUUUUAUCAUCUGCAGCAGCCAUUUCCGGACACCCAAACAUACGCAAAAACUGAGACAAAAGAGACCUGCCCCCAACCCCCCACAAGCCACAAUCCCUCCUCUGCUGUUUCUUGUCGACAAAUUUUAUAAAUUUUCUGGGCAAAUGUAUGACCCUUAAAACUCAGCGCAAAGAUUAGGAUAUCUUUUCACGUAAUUAUGGGUUGUUUGGGCUUUUUGAAUGUAACAGGGAGCCAUAGCAUUGCUGAGAGAGAGAAGAGGAGAGGAGAACAGAGCCCUGGUUGAUUUGGGGUGGCGUUGGGGGGCGAGAUGAACUGUGCGAUACAACUGUCUCUCGAGUCAGUCAGGCAGCCGCCUAUUCCUUCACGCUAAGGCAAACGAAGGCUCCAGAAAAGGGUUUAUUUAUAUAUGGAGUUAGGCUGCUAGGUGGGGAGAUUAAAAAACCUUAAAAGCUUUAACAAAGAACAAGGAAAAAAAGGCAAGGUAAGGAAUUGUGUAACAUUAAUUAAUUAUAGUUGUUUGUUCGUGUGACCUGGAUGAGGAUGGUCUCGGUUGAACGGCUAUGAUUUGAUUAGGAGGACAGAUAUUUUUAUCGUGCUCUGCCUCCAGAAAGUUCUUAAUUAAUUAUAGUUUUUUUUUUUGGUUUGGAUGGCUACUGAUAUACUACUACUAAAGCUACUGGUGAGGGGUGACAGACAGGUGAGUGGGGGAGGAGGAGGAUGACAAAUUAAAGGGAUGCAAACGAUGGUGGCCCAGAGGCCCUUUUCAGUUUUCAUCCGCUAUGUUGCAGUGUAUUGGGUGGGGGCUGUUUUACGUUAAACACGAAAAGGCAGUAGGCUCCACAAACCCCAAAUAUACUAAUAUGCAUGUAUUAACCUAUUGAUUGAUGACAAUCUGCAUGUUUACGUAUGUUCUCAGCUGAGGUAGUGGGGCAUGGCAGGGGAUCCGAGUCCGACACGAAAGAUAAUAAUACUACCAGGAUUAGUCAGUGGCGACGAUCAACCGCCAAGAUUGAUUGAUGGGUGCUGACGAUCAACGUUGUUAAAGAUGAGAUGAUAUGAUUAGGUGCACGAAAUACCAGAGAUGAAAAUGUGGUUGGUUCGAGCGUAAGUUCAUGAACUAAAAAAGUUUUUUUUUUUUCUUCUUUUUCCUAAAAAGGCGGAAGUUCAUGAAGGGCACAGUUGCGCUCUAAGGGUCCGUUUGUUUCGGGUGAAAAUAUUUUUCAAGAAAAUAUUUUCCUAAUUUUCCAUGUUUUGUUGCACAAAAGUUACUGAAAAUAUUUUUUUAUGUAAAAUAUUUUCACUCAUCUUAUGGAAAACAACUUUCCUUCCAAAAUUAUUGAAGUUGUUUUUCGAAAUGCAUGCAUCCCGCCUGUAGUAUAUUCCAAACUUACUGAAAACAUCUUGUAGUAUGUUCUUUUUUUUUUUUUUGUGUAAACAGGAGGACUCGAAUUGAAAAUCUCUUCCUUACACUCCCUCCCCCGUACCACCCAACCAUCUCCCUAGUAUAUUCAAAAUAAAAAAAAAACAUCAUCCUACUCAUCCUAUGCUAAUAAUUAAUUAUGUAUAAUAGGGACAUUCUUUUCUAGAGAAAUUUUUAGCAGUGAGAGUGCAAGAUAUAUGUCACAAUAAGCAUUGCAUGCGAUUGAUAUUUGACACUAAAUGGCCAGCAAUUUGUUUAUUGCUUAAAGAGAUAUUUUUUUAUUCAUAUAUACAUUUUUCCAAGAUUUUUUAAAGUUAAACAAUGAGAUAAAUUUUCUUAUUUUGCAUGGGAAGAAGUACGUAGUUAUAAUGUGUAGAAAGUAAAACUAGAGAUAAAAGUGAAAAUAUUUCAAAAGUUAAACAAACACCAGAAAAAUGAAGUAAGAAAAUAUUUUCAAUAAUCUAACCAAACACCUGAAAAUGAUGAAAGGGAAAUGAUUUUCAUGGAAAAUUACUUCCACGAAAAAUAUUUUCCCAAGAAAAACAUUUUACUUCCAACCAAACAGACCCUAAAUGUGUGCAUGUUUUUUUUUUUUUUUUUUAAUAAAAAUAAAAGAAAGUGAAACAAAAAAAGAAAAAAUGACGAAUAAGCCAACAGGUUAAACGCCAAGAGUACCUUACCUCCAACUGACUGCGUGCGUGUUUUUAGAAAAAGUGGAGGUCAUGACUCACAGCUGCUACUUCAUCGAAGCCACCUGCUGAACAGACAAAAGCUUAUAGCCGGCGACUGCGUACGCCAAUGUGGUCUUAAACUAAUUCCACCACGAAGACGACAAAAAAACCAUAAAUAUGUAAGUGCAGAUUUAUAGCCGACAAAAAAAAAAAAAAAAGCAAGUGGCGGACGAGCAGCUGAUGGAAAGAAAAUGCUAAUUAAGUUGGGGCACGAUAUCACGCAACUGGGCAAGAAGGAUUCAUCUCUUCUCCCAAUCCCCAAUUUUCGUAUCGUACCUACCGUGCGUUGUCCCCUUCAUCCAACCUGCUCAUUUUGUUCCUCCAUUUUCAAGCAGGAAGUGGAUGCAACUAUCCAAUUAGUAAAAAGAGUCAAGGAAAACAAAUAAAAUAAAAAAAUUUUUUUUUAAAAAAAAAAAAGGGGAAAAAAUUGAAUUGAACCGGGACGGCGACAAACAAGGAUGAACGGCCCUGCCCUUGCUUAAUGCUUAGUUGAUUAGGUUGGAUUUGAGAACCCAUGGUGGGACCGGGCGGGUUUGCACCUACCUAGAAUUAGAUUCAGCCUAGAAUGAAAAAGGCAAAGGACUUUUUUUGGUUGUUUGGUUGGCUGAUCUCUGCUGUUCCGUCGUUCCAUGACAGCUGAGCGGAGAGCCCUCAAGGGGGCCCCACACACACAUAUUAUUGUUUAAGAUGAGAAAUGCCGGCGUGAUUUUCAGCCAGCCCAAAAAGUGUUGGAUUCUCACGCUGCUAUGCAUAUUUGCAAAAUGUGCAAUAAUAAUUAAAAAAAAAAAAAAAAAAAAAGUCGAGCAGCAUUUAUCAUCAUUCCGCCUUUUCUUCUUUGGAUGAAAUCAAUGUAGCCAAAGAUAUUUUUUUCUCAGGUGUCAAAUAUGCUCCACUACAGCCACAAACAAAACGUCCACUCUCCUUAACACAUCAAAAUCAAAAUCAAAAUCAAAAUCAAAAUUGCUGCUGCUGCUGCUACCAGUGUGUACCCAUUGAUUGAUCAUAUGCUCACGCAACAACAGAACAGCGAAACUUAAAAAAGAUCUUCAUCCGACGAAGAGUCACCAAAAGAGCAGAGAUACUCCACAAUUGAUCAGCAUCAUUCCAGCGAGAGAGUAUCCUGCAGAACCAAUGAAAUGAAAAAAAAAAAAAAAAAAAAUUCCUUCAGCUAAUGCAGCCUAAAUGUUACAACGUUGCACCCUGCCUAAUGUACUCAAAGUCGCUCGGAUUCGAUUCUAAUGUUCGCAGCAUUUGUCAUUGCAAUCGCACGCUCCUAUCUGCUGCUGCUCAAGAAGUCCUGUUCUGGACUUAUAUUGUUUUAAGUAGGGUAACUCUUAAAGAUGAAAACCCCUUUACAGACUUGAUUGGCAAAUAAUAACGAACCAUUCACGUAGAGUAGCAACUCAGAAGAUAGUGCGGCCACAAGACAUGAUGGCAUCUUUUAUUGUGUUUCUGUGUGUAUCAUUCCCAUCACUAGUAUUCAUCAAAGCUAUAACAAAAGAAACGGAAAAAAAGAAGAAGAAGAAGAAGCUCUGCGACAAAAUUUGUUGUGAAUAGUGAGCAGAAUACUAAGCUGUGUUUUGUUAAAAGACAAACAGGAUCAUCCAUAUACACAAGAGUCUCAUAUUU